UUACGAGGAUUGCUGCAGCUCUUUGGGCUCGCGGGGCCCGCCGUCUGCUGGCAGUCCCGGCGGUGGUGGUGGCUGUGGGGGCGUCAGUUCUUUGGGGAGCAGCGGAACGUGGCGAAGGGACAUGCGCCUGCUCAGAGUGGCAGCGCGCCCUGCUGGGCGGGAGGGACCCGGGGUGCGGGAGGCGAGGCCGCGCCCCGCCUGGCAGGGCCAGCGCCUUUUCCCCUGGGGCAGGGAGCGUCUUCCACCCGGGGAGCGAGGCCUUAGAAGGGGCGGAAAGUCCAAAUGGAGAGUCUGUUUUUUUCUUCUGUGAUGAAGGGACUUGGAUUGCUCUUCUUCCCCUACUCAACCCUGGAGUUUGACACGUUAAGUCGGGGAUGGAGGCUUCUUCUCAGAGACUAGGAAUCCUAUGUCCUGGCCGUUGGGAUCCUACAAGUGACCAACCCGUCGUGGACACAAAAAGAAACUGAAGCAGCAAAAUAACCACUUGCUGCCUCAGUUUUCUUUCUGUGUAAAAUGGAAGUACAGCAGCCUCUGGCCUCCCUAAUGGUCGUUCCCACAGCACUGGGAACACGUGAGAUAACCCAAGUGUGUACAUUUGCUAGGAGAAAGCUUAUACACAGACACUUGGUUAUUCUGAGGAAUGUGGUGGCCACUGGCCAUUUGACCAGGAAUCUUCAAGCCAGAGAACUUUUAACUAUUUUGCCUACCCCCUACAACCUUCCCUUCAUCUGAUCCUUUACCACACUGGAGCCGGUUUGGUGAUCUGAACUGUUGUCACUAAACUUGAUAAAAUGGGGAUCAAGAAAUAAUAGGACGAGUAUUCCUCAGGAACUUUGAAGGGAAGAGUACUGUGCACCCUUCAGGAUAUGUUUAUACAGGAGCUCGAGAGUUCACAUUUCUGUAAGUUCAUUUCAGGGGUGUGAUAUCCUUUCAUCCUGGUAGGAGGAGCCUUGAAAUCAGAAAGCAGGGCUUCUAAUCUUUGUUCUAUUCGUUAACUAGCUUCGUGUCCAAGGACAAGUCACCCAAACUUGGAACUUUGUUUUUCUUAUCUAAAAUGGGAGCUGAUAGUAUGUCUGCUGUUGGUUUUUCCAGCAUCAAAUGAGAUCACGAGUGUGCUUUCUAAGUGUGCUAUUGUUAUUAGGAGAUUUGCAUUUGGUCCCCUAGCCUGGAUGAAGUGUGAGUCAGAAAUCUCUAGAAAUAGAGCAGCAAAGAAGACGGUCUCCAGCCUAGCUGGGCUCAUGUUGCAGUGGGAAAUAGACAGUAAACAAUAAAUACAUAAUGUAAUUUCAGAUAGCCGUAAGGGCAGUGAAGGAAAGAGAAGGACAGCGGGGGAACAGGGAAGGUGGUUUUUGGUAGGAUCUGUCAGGAAAAGCCAUUCAAAGGCAGGGACACUUGAAUCAAUUGAAGUGUGAUGGAAGGAGCCUGAGAUAAGAACAUUUCAGAGAGGAAUAAUAAAAGCAAUGAACACGUUAAAAAAAAAAAGUAGCGCUUACCAUAUGUAAGGCAGUGUUCUGAACACUAAAUUUUUACAACAGUCUUACGAGACAACCUAGUAUCUCCAUUUUAUGAUGAAGCAACUGACACACAGAAAGGUUAAGAAUUUGCCAAAGGUUGCGCAGCUAAAACGUGGUAGAGACUAUUUGAAUGUGGGCAGCCUGACCUCAGAGUCCAGGCACCAGGCAACUGUAUUUUCGGCCUCACAGCAGAACACAGGACAAUGCUCUGAGGUGGAACCAAGCCUGAGGUGGUCCAGACACAGUGAGAGUGUUUAGAGCGCAGCAGGGCAGGGGGAAGUGGUGGCUGAUGAUGGUCAAGGGCCAGGCAAGUCAUGGGGUCUCUUGUAGGCUGUGGUGAAGUAAUGAUGUUCUUCUAAGUAUGAUGGAAAACCACUAGAAGAUUUGCAUCAAGGGAAUGGCCGUCUGAUUUAAGUUUGAUUGCAUGGAGAAUUAACUGUAGUUUAGAGUGGGUGGGGUGGAGUGAAAAUGGGGAGAGGAAGCCGCUGUGCCCUGUGGGUGAGAUGAUGGUGGUUCGAGCUGGGGGAGGUAGUUGUGGAGAUGGCGGUGGGCGGCAGCAUGGGUGGUGUGUAUCGAAGGUAGAGCUGACUGGACCAGCUGAUGUGGAAUGUGAGGAAAAGGGAGAAGUGAUGACUUAGGUUUAGGCUGGAACAGCUAGAUGUGCAGCGGUGCUGUCCACUGAGGACAGCUACAAAUUUAGUUUUGCACAAGUUCUAAAUGCCUGUUAGAAAUAGUCGUAACAAUAGUGCUAGUAAAAAUAGUAAGUACUAUGUCAGUGUAAACUGAGUCCCAGACAGAAUUUUAAGUACUUUUACCUGUAUUAAUUCAUUUAAUCAUUGUGAGAAUUAUAUAUACAAGGAACCAUUAUUGUCCCCAUUUUACACACGAGAAAAUAGGCACAAAGGUUGUAAGUGACUUGUCUGAAGUCACCCAGCUUGUGAGUCAUGUAGCUAGGAUUCAAACCUAAGCAGUAUGGCUUUGGAGUCCAUGCAUUGAAUCCCUCUAACCACCUCCAAGUGAGCAUGUUGAGUAUGCAUGCCUGUGAAUUCAAGGGAAUGAUCAGGGUUGGAGAUACCCAUUUAUUUUUCUUAAGAGAAAGCCUGCUUUUGUUCUUCAUCUAAGCUUUGGCUGACCGUGGGAGAAAGAUCAUACAUAGGCAGAGGGACUGUGCUAAUUGGCCUUUCAUUAUGUACCUGACGGGGUUCAUGCAGCCAGUAUCUGGUAUUCCCCUGCCUGUUCCCCCACUGUAGCUUCCAUGGGGCAAGGUCUGUUUCUUUAACUUCUCCAUCUCUAGUCCCUAAUCCAGUGCCUGCUGCGUAGUAGAUGUUAGGAAUGACUUUAUAUGCUGGGCAUUUGCUUAGGUUUUGGAAGUUCAGAGAUGAAUAAAACAUAGUUCUUUCCCUAGAGGAGCAGAGUAUGAGGGAAAACCUUGGGAAUAAGAUUAGACUAAAUGCAUAAAUACAUGCUGAUUAGUUCAUUCUGGUUUACUGCCCCCUCUCCUCCCUGGCUUCCAUGACUUGUGAGAUGGGGGCAUGAAAAGGGCAAAGGGGCAAAAGAAUGCCUAAGCAGUUGCAGGAUGAAGCUGAGGCUCCCCGGGAGUCCUUUUCAGCAAAAGAAUUACUCAAAAUCAUGCAUAUUUUACUUUAUUUGCAUAGUUUUAUUUGGCAAUGAUAAGAUUUUUACCAAAUGAAGUAAAUUCCGAUAUUUGACUAUCCUUGUGGAGUGAUGAGUUUUUCCAGUUCUAUUACCUUAGUGUUGACAGGACUCACCAGUGAAAUAAGAGAGUUGCUUGAAAUGUUGCAGUUUGCAUAAUAGAGGAUGAUAGAGGCGCUAGGUGAAGUAUUCAAGCAGGUUUCCACCAGUUUAAGUGUAUCAUGCCAAAGUUCCACAUGUUGGAAUAAGUUUGCGUUUCUCUGCUGAACCUCGCUUUAACGUUGACAUGUAUUUUUUUUUGUCAUGAAAGGGGAUCUGGUGAUAUGUGUCAUGGGUGGAAUUGCAGGUUACAUCUCGUGUAGCUGGAACACUGUAGAGAACGUGGAGACUAGAACAAUAGAAACAAAAAAAGAUGUGUCUUGUUCCUGUAGAUCUCUUUCACAGCAUACCAUAACCUCAAUAGCUGUCACAAUUUUAUUACUUUCUAACAUGAGUAUUUCAAAUUUAAAUCACUUAAAGAUUAUAUAAAAUUGCACUGUUGUAGAUUUUGUGGUUAAUUUCAGAAUUUUUUUCUUAAAACAUAAAAUUAUAUUUUGUUUUAAGCUUUCAUUGGGAAAGUACAUUACUCUAAACAGGAACCCUCUAUUAACAUAAAUGUAGAGGGGUGUCAUCUCAUUUUGCAGUUCACAACAUUUUAAAUCUGCUCUAGUAGCUUCUUUAAAUUUAAUGGGGUUGAAAUGAUUAGCAUUUAUUUACACCACAUUUGCAGUAAGUUUCCCAGGAACAUCAGAUACCCAUAUAUGGUAUAAAGUAAAAUUGCGUAUUAAAAUAGCCUGUUGAGGCUCAGGCAUUAUUGACUUUUAAGUUCAGGCUCAGUGAGGGCAGUUGGAUGGUCAUUUAAUUGUGUCAGGUAACUCCCAGCAGAGGGGGAGUGAUGCUAAGUUCUAUUUGAAAACAACAGAAGCCAUUGUUUUUAACACUGACCAUAUAAAAUGCAACAUCCUAGAUAGUAAAUAAAAUUCAGAUUCCUUUUAAAAUUUACAUUUGCACAAGCAAAUUUUAAACUUUUGAGUACAUAUAUAUAUAUGAAGAUUGUUUAUUGUGGAAAACAGUGUGUCUAACCCAGUGAUAGUACAUAUUGAGCAUUUAAAUGUAAUUCCUAAUAGACUGCUUCUUGCAGUCACUUUUAUUUUGCGUAUUAUCUUCAACUCUAGCUAUUUGUAGUAAUAGCUGGAUGCUUGUUUAUAUACUUUACACUGUAAAUGUUUGCAUAUAUUUAAAUAAUUUAUAUAAAUAGCACUUAUUUUUGCUUCAUUUCACAUUUAGUUGCUUAGACAUUAAAAUCUUUAGAUUUGAUUCCGCCUCCACUGACAUAACACUAAUGGCUAAUAAUUAGUAAGUCUAGGUGGAACUAAGCUUUAGUGAAAGGUUAACUAAAUUAUAACCCCAAAAGAACACCCAGAAAAAAAUUUGUAGGGAAUAUUAAGCAAAACCAGUAUGUCCAUGAAAGGAAUAAUUUAACCAUAACUAUGUAGCUAAUCAUUCUUCAAGUUGUUACCAUUCUACAGGGAGUAUUUGCUUAUUUGGUUCUUAAAUUGCAAAGCUGUUAGUUUCAAGCUGCAUUGCAAGCCACCAAUCAGUGUGUGAUAAAUAUUGGAAGGCGAUACUAGGGGUUUAGCCCAGUACAUCUCAACUCAGAAUGAUUUUGUCCUUUCCAGCACACCCUGGGGACAUUUGUCAAGAAGACAUUUUUGGUUGCCACAUUUGUGUUUGAGGGCAUCACUCCCAGCAUCUAGUGGAUUGAGGCCAUUAUAGCAUGCUGUUGAAUGUCCUGCAAUGUACAGGACAACUUGUCAACAACAGAAACUUAUCCAGUUGAAAAUGUCAGUGCUCCUAAUGUUGAGAAAUCCUGUAGUAUCUUUUCUCCCUUCCUUCCUUCUGUUCUUCUUCUUCUUCUUCUUUUUUUUUUAAAUGCUUUAGAAAUGGAGGUGGUGCUUUAAGUGGCAAAUGCGUGACUUGGACAAAGGAUCGUGUUGUACUGCUUUUAGUUUGUUGGAUAGCUGAGCUAUUUGGUUCAUUUACUAAAUGGAAAAUAAUUCUUGAACUCAAUAGUAGCCUUGAAUUGUUUUUGGUUGCUAGCGUGUCUGGUGUUUUUGUGUUUGUUUUUAGCUAUGAAUAUUUUUCUUACUAAAUUUAAUCUGGACAUUAUAUCAUCCUGGAUUGUAACAGGUUUCCUAGUGUGAAUUCCCUUCAUUGUUGUAUAUAUUAAAUUAGCUGUCUCACAGUUUCAUGGUUUAUAUCUAUCAAAAUCCUUUUCACAUUAAUUUUCAAUUUUGUUACAAACAGCCCAUUAAAUGUAUAGGGCAGGCAUUAUCCUCACUAUUAGACCAGUGAAGAAACAGACUUAGGUCAAGUGACUUUCCAUAU
Sapajus apella (tufted capuchin) is the source of this 5594-nucleotide long non-coding RNA. RefSeq lists it as uncharacterized. Lineage: Eukaryota; Metazoa; Chordata; Mammalia; Primates; Cebidae. The transcript has 2 exons. The record is from RefSeq and is a predicted model, not a curated record.